This 324-nucleotide ribosomal RNA is filed under the name uncultured bacterium. RNAcentral describes it as "bacterial SSU rRNA". It matches the Rfam family "Bacterial small subunit ribosomal RNA", at positions 29 to 333 of the family's 1533-position model. The record is from RNAcentral.
AACGAACGCUGGCGGCGUGCCUAAGACAUGCAAGUCGUGCGAGAAAGGGACUUCGGUCCUGAGUACAGCGGCGCACGGGUGAGUAACGCGUGGGUAACCUACCUCGAAGUUUGGAAUAACCCGGGGAAACCUGAGCUAAUACCGGAUGAGCCUACGAGGCCUUCGGGUCGAUGUGGGAAAAGAUGGCCUCUGCUUGCAAGCUAUCGCUACGAGAUGAGCCCGCCGUCCCACUUAGCUAGUUGGUGAGGUAACGGCUCACCAAGGCGACGAUGGGUAGCUGGUCUGAGAGGACGAUCAGCCACACUGGAACUGAGACACGGUCCA